RNAcentral lists this ribosomal RNA (449 nucleotides) under uncultured Thiothrix sp. Its description in RNAcentral is "bacterial SSU rRNA". It matches the Rfam family "Bacterial small subunit ribosomal RNA", at positions 30 to 505 of the family's 1533-position model. The record is from RNAcentral. Lineage: Bacteria; Pseudomonadati; Pseudomonadota; Gammaproteobacteria; Thiotrichales; Thiotrichaceae.
AUUGAACGCUGGCGGUAUGCUUAAGACAUGCAAGUCGAACGGUAACAGGCAGAGCUUGCUCUGUGCUGACGAGUGGCGGACGGGUGAGUAACACGUGGAAAUCUACCCAGUAGCGGGGGAUAAGUCAGAGAAAUUUGAUCUAAUACCGCAUACGUCCUACGGGAGAAAGGCUUCGGCCACUAUUGGAUGAGUCCGCGUUAGAUUAGCUUGAUGGUGAGGUAAAGGCUCACCAUGGCGACGAUCUAUAGCUGGUCUGAGAGGAUGAUCAGCCACAUUGGGACUGAGACACGGCCCAGACUCCUACGGGAGGCAGCAGUCGGGAAUAUUGGACAAUGGGCGAAAGCCUGAUCCAGCAAUACCGCGUGUGUGAAGAAGGCCUGCGGGUUGUAAAGCACUUUCAGUAGGGAAGAUAAUGACGUUACCUACAGAAGAAGCACCGGCUAACUCCG